RNAcentral lists this transfer RNA (72 nucleotides) under Methanobacteriota archaeon. RNAcentral describes it as "Euryarchaeota archaeon tRNA-Trp". It matches the Rfam family "tRNA". From Rfam's summary of the family: Transfer RNA (tRNA) molecules are approximately 80 nucleotides in length. Lineage: Archaea; Methanobacteriati; Methanobacteriota. The record is from RNAcentral.
GGGGGUAUAGUGUAGCGGCUAUCAUAGCGGGCUCCAGACCCGCCGACGGGGGUUCGAGUCCCUCUACCCCCA